Molecule: ribosomal RNA, 492 nt
Filed under: uncultured bacterium
Lineage: Bacteria
Description: partial 16S ribosomal RNA
Rfam family: Bacterial small subunit ribosomal RNA
Source: RNAcentral
AGUGAACGCUGGCGGUAGGCCUAACACAUGCAAGUCGAACGGCAGCACAGUAAGAGCUUGCUCUUAUGGGUGGCGAGUGGCGGACGGGUGAGGAAUACAUCGGAAUCUACUUUUUCGUGGGGGAUAACGUAGGGAAACUUACGCUAAUACCGCAUACGACCUACGGGUGAAAGCAGGGGAUCUUCGGACCUUGCGCGAUUGAAUGAGCCGAUGUCGGAUUAGCUAGUUGGCGGGGUAAAGGCCCACCAAGGCGACGAUCCGUAGCUGGUCUGAGAGGAUGAUCAGCCACACUGGAACGGGGACACGGUCCAGGCUCCUACGGGAGGCAGCAGUGGGGAAUAUUGGACAAUGGGCGGAAGCCUGAUCCAGCCAUACCGCGUGGGUGAAGAAGGCCUUCGGGUUGUAAAGCCCUUUUGUUGGGAAAGAAAAGCAGCAGGUUAAUACCCCGCUGUUCUGACGGUACCCAAAGAAUAAGCACCGGCUAACUUCGUG